Molecule: non-coding RNA, 449 nt
Organism: Ciona intestinalis (vase tunicate)
Lineage: Eukaryota; Metazoa; Chordata; Ascidiacea; Phlebobranchia; Cionidae
Source: RefSeq, a predicted model, not a curated record
UGCACUGUCUGUAUGAAAACAAUGAACCAGACAUGCGACAAUGUUAGACAGUAGACAAUCACGUACGCUUUCUAAGGAACGCGACUCCUAUCCAUAUGUUUCCUGAUUGAUGGUUUUCUACCAAGCUUUACUGAACCUCACAGUUACACAUGAAACCACACAUAAGGAAGACUAUGAAUGCCAAGGUUUUCAUCUUGCUUGUAUUUCUGUUGAUAAAUUCUGUCUCAGCUCGACCACUAUUGGAUGUGAUGUUGGACGGACGUGGAAUGGAAGAUGUAGCACCUGGUGCACCUGAUGUACAAGAUCGGUGGGAACCAUCGCAAAACCUGAUUGAAGAUAGAAGAAGAUCUGGGGACCAUCAUGAGUGACAUGAUUAUAACUUCUAAGCACACUGUUAGUGUUUACUAAACAAACACAAUUAAAGAGAAUAAAGAAAAACAGUAACACAA